This 406-nucleotide ribosomal RNA is filed under the name Vibrio vulnificus. RNAcentral's name for it is "bacterial SSU rRNA". It matches the Rfam family "Bacterial small subunit ribosomal RNA", at positions 1137 to 1533 of the family's 1533-position model. Lineage: Bacteria; Pseudomonadati; Pseudomonadota; Gammaproteobacteria; Vibrionales; Vibrionaceae. The record is from RNAcentral.
ACUCCAGGGAGACUGCCGGUGAUAAACCGGAGGAAGGUGGGGACGACGUCAAGUCAUCAUGGCCCUUACGAGUAGGGCUACACACGUGCUACAAUGGCGCAUACAGAGGGCGGCCAACUUGCGAAAGUGAGCGAAUCCCAAAAAGUGCGUCGUAGUCCGGAUUGGAGUCUGCAACUCGACUCCAUGAAGUCGGAAUCGCUAGUAAUCGUGGAUCAGAAUGCCACGGUGAAUACGUUCCCGGGCCUUGUACACACCGCCCGUCACACCAUGGGAGUGGGCUGCAAAAGAAGUGGGUAGUUUAACCUUCGGGAGGACGCUCACCACUUUGUGGUUCAUGACUGGGGUGAAGUCGUAACAAGGUAGCGCUAGGGGAACCUGGCGCUGGAUCACCUCCUUAUACGAUGAU